This 199-nucleotide long non-coding RNA is filed under the name Elaeis guineensis (African oil palm). RNAcentral's name for it is "long non-coding RNA (EGUI_LNC013562)". Lineage: Eukaryota; Viridiplantae; Streptophyta; Magnoliopsida; Arecales; Arecaceae. The record is from RNAcentral.
GCCUGAUGUCUGUGAGAUGAAGAGAAACCUUAGCUUCUAGUCGUGCACAGCAGAAAGCAUAUCCAAAAAUAUCAAGCGAAAGCCAUCCUUCUUCCUCCGCGGAGUCGCAUACCACCACCCGUGUGAGUCAGGAUGCUGUUUGAGGCUAAAGAGAAAGUGAAAGAAUGUGACGUUCGGCAUAAUUCUAGCCAGUACGCAU